This 30-nucleotide small RNA is filed under the name Bombyx mori (domestic silkworm). RNAcentral describes it as "ovarian small RNA-37659". The record is from RNAcentral. Lineage: Eukaryota; Metazoa; Arthropoda; Insecta; Lepidoptera; Bombycidae.
UUGAAUGAUUUAUUGAGGUCUUCGGACCGA